AGUACUGCGAGUGAAGCGGGAAAGCUCAAAUUUAAAAUCUGACGGUUUCACCGUCCGAGUUGUAAUCUGGAGAAGCAUUUUCUGUGUCAGACCGUGUACAAGUCUCUUGGAAUAGAGCGUCAUAGAGGGUGAGAAUCCCGUCCAUGACACGGACUACUGAUGCUGUGUGAUAUGCUCUCGAAGAGUCGAGUUGUUUGGGAAUGCAGCUCAAAAUGGGUGGUAAAUUCCAUCUAAAGCUAAAUAUUGGCGAGAGACCGAUAGCGAACAAGUACCGUGAGGGAAAGAUGAAAAGCACUUUGGAAAGAGAGUUAAACAGUACGUGAAAUUGUUGAAAGGGAAACGCUUGAAGUCAGUCGCGUUGUCUGAGACUCAGCCUUGCUUGCUUGGUGUACUUCUCAGUUGACGGGUCAACAUCAAUUUUGGUUGGUGGAUAAAGGCGGGGGGAAUGUGGNNCCUUCGGGUGUGUUAUAGCCCUUUGUUG
Molecule: ribosomal RNA, 481 nt
Filed under: Xylodon australis
Lineage: Eukaryota; Fungi; Basidiomycota; Agaricomycetes; Hymenochaetales; Schizoporaceae
Description: partial large subunit ribosomal RNA
Rfam family: Eukaryotic large subunit ribosomal RNA
Source: RNAcentral